Molecule: long non-coding RNA, 7210 nt
Filed under: Sus scrofa (pig)
Lineage: Eukaryota; Metazoa; Chordata; Mammalia; Artiodactyla; Suidae
Description: lncRNA (ENSSSCG00065042421.1)
Source: RNAcentral
UUUUUUUCGUUAUGUUUGCAAAUUUUCAUAAUAAAAUGCUGGAGCGGGAGAAGAAAAAAAACUACCUACAGGCAGAAUUCUUGGGACUGGAUGGGGAGAGAGAAGAUGCAAAAUUUUAAGAACACGUGACACUGUGGCAUUGAAGAGAGAAUAAUUCCAGACUCACAACAGCUACGACUGAGAGACUGUGUACCCCUGGGAACUGCAGAGCCACCAGGCCCCACAUUAUUUGUCCUGGGCCUCGUUAAAGGAAACAUCCCUUCUGUGAGCCACAAACACAAGAUGUUCCUGCAGAGAAGCCAAUGUUCUUCAUGAAACUAGGGUCACUGCUAAGAACACCUGGGCAGAGGGACAGGUACAGCUGUGUUACAGCUUCCAUUCCUUUCGAUUCAGUGUGAACUCAUCAAAUUAUAAUUUAAUUUAACAUAUUGGUCUAGUAGUUGUGGUUAAAACGGCACAGACAAUGGGGAAACUUUAUGCUUCUGGAAGGACAGGUGCCCAUGGGACAGGGGUCCCUUCUUUUUGGACGGGCUGACCUAAGGCACGUCCAAGGUCAUACCCUCCACGGUGAAAGGGGAGGGGAGGGACUGAGCACAGAACAAGUCCAGCUUCUUCCCCACCUUCUUGCUGCCCUUAACCUCCUCUCCCCCUCUCCGCUGAUCUCCAUUCUGUACACCUGACCUUGCAAACUCAGUUUUAAGACCCAGCAAUUUCCCGUCCGUCGUGGCUCAGCGGUAAGGAGCUCUAUUAGUAUCCAUAGGGAUGCAGGUUCAAUCCCUGGCCUCGCUCAGGGGGUUAAGGAUCCAGUGUUGCCGUGGGCUAUGGUGCAGGUCACAGACAUGACUCAGAUCACGCGUUGCUGUGACUGUGGCGUAGGCCGGCAGCCGCAGCUCUGAUUCGACCCCUAGCCUGGGAACUUCCAUAUGCCACAGGUACAGCCCUAAAAAGAAAAAACAGACAAAAAAUAAAACAAACCAAAACAACCCCCCCCCUGAAAAAAAGUCUGAGGCCUAGGAAACUGCUGUGACCCUCCGGGGACAGAGGCUGGGCACCCCCUCACCUGACCCCAAUCCUCCCAGAAGCCACCCUGAGGCUUGAGCAUCCAGACCAGGAUCAGAAGGCCAGGGAGAGGCAGCCAGUGCCCCAAGGCCCUGGGCUCAGGUCCUCAGCCAGCCUGGGCCUCAGGCAGGGAGUCAGGGAGGCUCCCUGGGCAACCGCUGGGGUCAGGAAGGCGAGGUUCCAGCCACUUGCAGGUCGAGGCAGAAACACAGAAGCCUUCCCUCCCAAUCCUCACAGAUGCACAUUUUAAAAUACAGCCUGGGGUUUCUCAGGGCAAGAAAUCUUAGAAACAAAUCCCCUGAGAUGGGGUGUCUCGAAUGACCGACCAUGUGUCUCACGAGAAACGCUAAGUGGACAUGAGCCCAUGGCAAGGCCGGCCUGGUGCUCACAUGUGGCUGACACCCUCCCUCUGGUUGUGAGUUUGUCAAUUUGUCGAGGGCAGGAGGAGAUGAGGUCCAACUGGCUUACAGGCGCAGCCACCCUCCCCGCAGCCAGCGGUCCGGAGCGAGCAGCCCAGGCAUGGAGGGUCUCAGCCUCAGUCUCAGCCUUGGCGGCACCAUCAGGAACUUUCCAACCACUCAUGUCUGGCUCCAAACACCUCAGCUGUCCUGGCCCAAGGGGAGGGGGGUGCUGGGCUGAAAAUCUCCCCAGGGUUCCUCACACUAGGGUGCCCCCAACGUGCCCCUGGGAGCCUGCGAAACCCCAAUGACUGGGUCCCCUUGCCAGAGGCUCUGCCCUGCAGGUCUCAGGUGGGGCCUUGGAAUGUGCAUUUCCAACAAGCUCCCGGGGGCCACUGCUGGUGCAGAUCCCACCCCUGCUUUGAGAACAGCUGCCCUGAGAACACUUAGAUGAGGGCAGGGCCCUGCCUUCCUGGGGACCCCAGUAUGCAAAUGGGACUUCAGGUGGACCCCAGACACAAACAAGGUGAGAGGACACAGCCCAGCCUUGUGACCAGAAAAGCCGGGAAAUGUGAGUGCUGGGCCUCGCUCUGUUGCCAUCCAGAGGCGGACCCUGGAGAUACCCCUUCCCCCGCUGCAGACCCCAGUCCUGGCAUCACCAGUGGAACAAAGUAAAUUCAAGUAAAGAAUCCCCAGUCACCCCAGGUACACUGCUGCUCCAGAAACAGCUACGGAGGGGUGGGGACCAGGCCAGAAUGAACCCCACAGGGCUGGAGACGCGCCCAGGGCCCCUUUGCUCCUUGGCCACAAGGAAGAAGUGGCCAUCGUUGUCACAGGUCAGGAGAGGGAGCCCAGGGGUGCAGGGGGCCAGGAAGUGGCUGCCACUUGAGAUGACCCCCCCCAGUGGGUGUUCCCAGCACCCCCACUUCCAUGGCCCGUGGCCGCCACACACAGGUGUGCUCACUGCUCACGGCUCCGUGGGAGCCUGAAAUUUCAAGUCUGGGGACACUGCCCCCAGGUGCUCACCUGUGGCCAAUGGCACAUGGAUGCAUGUGCCAUCCUCUGUUCCCAAAGGGAAGUAAGUCCAAGAUGUAAGGAAGACCGGACAGGUGGCCUGGCCACCAGACCCCCCGGAACAAGGGGUUAGCCCAGACCAGUGGCUUUCAAGCAUUUUUAGAGGAUGAACCUUUCUUCUUCUUUUUAAUAGAUCCCUAGCACAGGGUCGACCAGUGCUGAGGUUCUGACUGUGUGUCUCUGUGUGGGGGUGAGAGUGGGGAGGGAGGGGUCCCUGAGUCCCAGACAGCCUCCCACCCCCGCCACCAGGGGUGUGGUACAUACAUACAAUGGAAUACCCUUCAGCCAUAGACAAGAAUGACAUAUUGCCACAUGCAGCAGCAUGUAUGCAACUAGAGAUGCUCACACGCACUUGUAUGUGGAAUCUGAAAAAAUGAUGCAGAUGAACUUGUUUACAAAACAGAAAUAGACUCGCAGAGAACAAACUUAUGGUUACCAAAGGGGACAAAGGGGAGGGGAGGGAUAAGAUAGGAGUUUGGGAUUAUAUGCACACCACUAUACAUAAAACAGAUAACCAACAAGGACCUAUCGUAUAGCACAGAGAACUCUACUCACUAUCUUGUAAUAACCUAUAAUGGAGAAGAAUCUGAAAAAUAUAUAUACACAUGUAUGUAUACACACACACAAAUAUAUACACAUGACUGAAUCACUUUCCUGUAUACCUGAAAUUAACACAACAUUGUGAAUCAACUAUACAUCAAUCAAUAAAUACAUAAAUAAAUUUUUUAAAAAAUAAAGUAUUGACUACGGUACUAGUUUUAAUAUGGCACAGGCCCCAUCUCAGGGAAGGUCAGGGAGAGCAGAGAGGGAGGCAGGAUGUCUUUCUCGCCUCAGCCUCCCCUCCAGGCCUGGCACCUGUCCCAGGGUCUAGGGCAGGGCCGGCAGCAGCAAACGUUUCCUGGAAAAGGGCCACAGAGUAAAAAAUUUAGGUCGUGCAGGUCCUGUGGCCUGUAUUGCAACUAUUCAACUCUGCCUUCAAAGAGCAAGAGCAGCCAUGUGUGGCUGUGUGUGGCUGUGCUCCAAUAAAACUUUAUUUAUGAAAACCGCCAACAGACCGGGUUUAGUGGAGGGCCCCAGUUUUGCUGAGCCCUGGCAUAGGGAAAAACGCUGUGGGGUCCGCAACCCUAAGAUUCUUUCCACAUUUAUGACAAUGAAUUCUCAAUUCUUAAACUCUACUUGCCGGAGUCUUGGUCUAACCUAUCAAGAAUACACUCAUUCCUGAACUUCACGGAUUUUUGUUCCAAGAACCAAAAAUGUUCUGAUGAGCUAAUGAAUGUGAAAAAUGCUUUGAAAAGCCUAAGCUUUGCAAACGGGCAGACCCACCAAAGCCUCUAAGAGCAGAGCUUACCAUCCUUUACCUGUGUUUCAGGAAGAUUCCAGGCACUGGGUUAUGUCCGCCUGGGCUGCUUUUAAAGAACGGGGUUUAAAGAAUGCUGCAGUAAAAAGGGCCUAAAGGGACAACGAAGCUGGAAGAAAUGAAUAGUGUCUGGUCCUUGUCUCCUGGAGCCUGAAACUUUUAAACUCUCCAUAGAAAAUCCCACACUCCCCAUUUCAUCCUGUUUGUCUACGCAGCGGCCUCUUAGGCCAGGAAACGGCAUUAGUCAGGAGGCUCCUGGUUAAUCCCUGGAUACGUCUCCUUUGCGCAGCUGUGAAAAUGCUGCAUUGUUAUUUAACUGCACUGAACCGCUCUCCAUCCUUGAAACUGUCUUCAUAAUCACACCGUGACCUAAGGUGCCCUCGCGUGGUGAAGUCCCCGUGAAUGGCUGCCAUCCGUCUACCCUCCAUCGUCCUUCUGGCAGAAAGAAAUCGUAGCCACAAUUUAGUAAGCACCUACUGUGGCUGAGCUUUUGCUANUUUUUUUUUUUUUGGUCUUUUUGGCUUUUCUAGAGCCGCACCCACGGCAUACGGAGGUUCCCAGGCAAGGGGUCUAAUCGGAGCUGUAGCUGCUGGCCUACACCACAGCCACAGCAACGCCAGAUCUGAGCCAAGUCUGCAACCUACACCACAGCUCAUGGCAACACCGGAUCCUUAACCCACUGGGCAAGGCCAGGGAUCGAACCCUCAACCUCAUGAUUCCUGGUCAGAUUCGUUAACCACUGAGCUACGACAGGAACUCUGAGGUUUUGCUGUUUCAUGAAGCUUACUUCACCUCAUGACAACCACAACUCUGAGACGUGGGCCUCUCAAUCUGCAUUUUACAGACGGUGGAGAUGAGGUUCAAAGAAUUUAGAAAACACCUGCCAAUGCACAGGUCGAAAAUGACGGAACUGCGAUUGAGGAUUUACCCUGGAACCCAAGCUCUUGCCACGUUAUCAUCAAUGACUUCAUGUAUCUCAUCUGUUAUUUUUCCUAGCCUCCUUGUAUUGACAAAGAAAAGACGAAAUCCUGCAAACAGAUACAAGGGGGACAAUUUCUUCCUCACUUGUGAUCCUCUGAAGGUGAAAAAAGAACUGUCACCUGGCCAGGUAAGAAUCAUGAAAGUUCACCCAAGAGCUAAGCUAGUCUCAGAUGGCAUUAAAUUUGGGUUGUGAUUUUUCUACACAGAGAGUAUAUUGCUUUUGAAAGGAAAAUUGAGAUGUUUGUUUUUUCAAUAAGCAACAAGUCUGGAGUAGGGGGAACCUGCUUUCUCUUCUUGCAGGGCCCUGGGCUAACAUCCACGUCCCAGCCUCCCUUGCAGUUAGAGGUGGUCGUGUGACUGAGCCCUGACCAACAGAACAUGAGCAAGAAUGAGGGUCUGGGCCCUAAAAUUCAGCUUGUACAACCCCCCUUGCUCAUUUCCCUUAGAGCAAAGCAGCACAGUGACCUUGGAAACCAAGCGGGAGGACAAAGAAGCCUCAAAAUAGAAAGUUCCACAGUCCAUGGACCACCUCUUACAGCAGGGCCACCGCAGACCAGAACUUUACAUGAGAAAGAACUUUGUUUUGGAGUUCCCAUUGUGGCCAGUGGUUUAAUGGUCUGGCUUGUCUCUGUGGCAUUGCCGAUUUGAUUCCCCAGCCCGGAGUAGUGAGUUAAGGCUCUGGUGUAGCCGCAGCUGUGGCACAGGUCUCAGAUGCAGCUCAGAUUCGAUUCCUGGCCUGGUGGUCCCAGAACUUCCAUGCGUCAUGGGUGCAGGGGGAAAACAAUAAAAAGAGAAAAGAAACUUCUUUGGGUUAAACUCCCAAGUCUGAAGGACUUGUUACUGCAGCUACUAUUAUCCUAAUCCAGUAACGACUAUGACACAAAUUAAAUAGCAAUUACAAAGAGUUAAAAUUCUAAGUUGUUCCACUUAAGAACGUAAACAGCGAUUAUUUGAAUCAUGAAAAUUAGAGAAAAGUUAAUGGAAGUUAUGUAAACUAGAACAAUAAAGUAUAUCUUUCAAGACUCUAAAAAAAAAAUCUUAGUUGUUUCCCAGGUUCGAACCCAGGGAUAAAACGCUGAGGUGAUUGAAAAUUAUCAUUCUUCAUAUUUUGGAUAUAUUAAAUACAGUAUUCAAAUUCCCUUCACCUGUUUCUUUUUAUGUUUCUACUGUAGCUACCAGGAAUUCCAAAGUCACACCCGUAGCUCACAGUGCAUUUCUACAAGACAAUGCUGCCCCAGAUCGUGAAAACAUCAGAUUUUCUGGAUAAUUACUGAUACACAUUGAGUAUCCAUGCAUGACAGGUGGGAGCCCUGCUCUGCUUCUGGAAAAGCCCUGUGACCUCAGGAAGGUCACUCGUGCCCCCUGGAUCUCAUUUUUUUCAUGUAAAUCCUGAGCGCUUUGGACCUUCCAUUCUUUGUAGACUGGUCAUGCCCAGCCACAUGGUAUUAAACCAGCUGAUCCCAGCAUCCCCUUUGCUCAAGACCUGCACCCUGAACCAGUCUGCCCUGCCAGUCCUGGCCUGGUCUCCAGUUCCUGUUCAUGGUUCAUACGCACCCUUGGACUAAGCCUGUACUCUUUUUUCAUCCAGAUCUCUGACUUCCCUCCUCUAUGACAGCUCACAUUGGACUCUUGGAUGAUAUGGUUUCUGGCCAUUCCGGUAAACACACAACCUGAUCUAAUAAACACUCCAGCACAGCCCCGUGGGGUCAGUGUCCAUCAGCCUCACUUCUGUCCUGCAACCCAGGCUCAGGGUAGCUUCCCCACCGCCAGAGCCCUCAGACCCAACAAGCCUGGCAGAGGGAGGGAGCAGAGCCCUUUAUCAGAAAAGAAUGCAGAGACCUCAGAGCCCAGCCCAGGCCAAAGGCUAUCAUUUGAAGUAGCUUCCUUCUUUCAAAGUUUCUGAGGAAAAGCUUAUUUCCUUGAAAUAGCAAAGAACUGAAAACCAAAAGAUGAGAGGUUUUCUUUUUUUUUUUUUUUUUUCUGGAGAUAGACAGCAAAGUGUACCAGUAAAUAGUACCAAGAAUUCAUUUCUGCUACAGUUGUCCACCACCCCCAAUAUUGCAUUUAGUUAACUUAAUUUUCUGGGGAUCGAAUUGAUUCGAAGUUAAAUUUCUCUUAAUAGGUCAUCUGAGUAAACAGUUUCGGGUCUAUGCCAAAAGACGACGUUUCCAGGCUCGAGAUGAAAUCGGCAGUGUCAGGCUAAGAAAACAACCUUAAAAAUUCACAGAGGGCUGGAACAAUUGCAGAAAAAUUAGAGCCCGGGGCUCAGUCUUUUUCACGCAGAUUUAGAAGAAAAAAUUACAAAUUUCCACCAACACCAAAAAAAAAAAAAAAAAAAAAA